AUUGAACGCUGGCGGCAGGCCUAACACAUGCAAGUCGAGCGGAUGAAGGGUGCUUGCUCCUGGUUUCAGCGGCGGACGGGCGAGUAAUGCCUAGGAAUCUGCCUGGUAGUGGGGUAUAACGUCCGGAAACGGGGGCUAUUACCCCAUACGUCCUGAGGGCGUAAGUGGGGGAUCUUCGGACCUCACGCUAUCAGAUGAGCCUAGGUCGGAUUAGCUAGUUGGUGGGGUAAAGGCCUACCAAGGCGACGAUCCGUAACUGGUCUGAGAGGAUGAUCAGUCACACUGGAACUGAGACACGGUCCAGACUCCUACGGGAGGCAGCAGUGGGGAAUAUUGGACAAUGGGCGAAAGCCUGAUCCAGCCAUGCCGCGUGUGUGAAGAAGGUCUUCGGAUUGUAAAGCACUUUAAGUUGGGAAGAAGAGCAGUAGGUUAAUACCUUGCUGUUUUGACGUUACCAACAGAAUAAGCACCGGCUAACUUCGUG
RNAcentral lists this ribosomal RNA (484 nucleotides) under uncultured bacterium. RNAcentral describes it as "partial 16S ribosomal RNA". It matches the Rfam family "Bacterial small subunit ribosomal RNA", at positions 30 to 507 of the family's 1533-position model. The record is from RNAcentral.